RNAcentral lists this ribosomal RNA (465 nucleotides) under Vreelandella stevensii. RNAcentral describes it as "partial 16S ribosomal RNA". It matches the Rfam family "Bacterial small subunit ribosomal RNA", at positions 338 to 795 of the family's 1533-position model. The record is from RNAcentral. Lineage: Bacteria; Pseudomonadati; Pseudomonadota; Gammaproteobacteria; Oceanospirillales; Halomonadaceae.
CCUACGGGUGGCUGCAGUGGGGAAUAUUGGACAAUGGGCGAAAGCCUGAUCCAGCCAUGCCGCGUGUGUGAAGAAGGCCUUCGGGUUGUAAAGCACUUUCAGUGGGGAAGAAAGCCUUGGGGCUAAUACCCUCGAGGAAGGACAUCACCCACAGAAGAAGCACCGGCUAACUCCGUGCCAGCAGCCGCGGUAAUACGGAGGGUGCGAGCGUUAAUCGGAAUUACUGGGCGAAAAGCGCGCGUAGGCGGUCUGAUAAGCCGGUUGUGAAAGCCCCGGGCUCAACCUGGGAACGGCAUCCGGAACUGUCAGGCUAGAGUGCAGGAGAGGAAGGUAGAAUUCCCGGUGUAGCGGUGAAAUGCGUAGAGAUCGGGAGGAAUACCAGUGGCGAAGGCGGCCUUCUGGACUGACACUGACGCUGAGGUGCGAAAGCGUGGGUAGCAAACAGGAUUAGAUACCCGUGUAGUC